RNAcentral lists this small nuclear RNA (95 nucleotides) under Sciurus vulgaris (Eurasian red squirrel). The record is from RNAcentral. Lineage: Eukaryota; Metazoa; Chordata; Mammalia; Rodentia; Sciuridae.
GUGCUCACCUCAGCAGCACAUAUACUAAAAUUGGAACCAUUCAGAGAAUAUUAGCAUGGCCUCUGCUGCAAAUUUGUGAAGUUUUCCAAAUUAAA